CCUACGGGUGGCAGCAGUGGGGAAUAUUGGACAAUGGGCGAAAGCCUGAUCCAGCCAUGCCGCGUGUGUGAACAAGGCCUUCGGGUUGUAAAGCACUUUCAGUGGGGAAGAAAGCCUUGGGGCUAAUACCCUCGAGGAAGGACAUCACCCACAGAAGAAGCACCGGCUAACUCCGUGCCAGCAGCCGCGGUAAUACGGAGGGUGCGAGCGUUAAUCGGAAUUACUGGGCGUAAAGCGCGCGUAGGCGGUCUGAUAAGCCGGUUGUGAAAGCCCCGGGCUCAACCUGGGAACGGCAUCCGGAACUGUCAGGCUAGAGUGCAGGAGAGGAAGGUAGAAUUCCCGGUGUAGCGGUGAAAUGCGUAGAGAGCGGGAGGAAUACCAGUGGCGAAGGCGGCCUUCUGGACUGACACUGACGCUGAGGUGCGAAAGCGUGGGUAGCAAACAGGAUUAGAUACCCCAGUAGUC
RNAcentral lists this ribosomal RNA (465 nucleotides) under Vreelandella stevensii. RNAcentral describes it as "partial 16S ribosomal RNA". It matches the Rfam family "Bacterial small subunit ribosomal RNA", at positions 338 to 795 of the family's 1533-position model. Lineage: Bacteria; Pseudomonadati; Pseudomonadota; Gammaproteobacteria; Oceanospirillales; Halomonadaceae. The record is from RNAcentral.